This is a long non-coding RNA of Myxocyprinus asiaticus (Chinese sucker), 4060 nucleotides long. RefSeq lists it as uncharacterized. The transcript is spliced from 3 exons. The record is from RefSeq and is a predicted model, not a curated record. Lineage: Eukaryota; Metazoa; Chordata; Actinopteri; Cypriniformes; Catostomidae.
UAUGGCUUUUCACUUUUCUCAAGAAUAAUCUGCUGGGGAAGGAAUUCAAACACUGCAGAUAUAAAGACGCAAAAACUCGAAUAGAGUGAACAUAUGAGCAAUUAAUCUGGAAAAUAAUCAAACCAUCCUAUCUGCAAAGAUCUCUGCUCUCUAAGAGAGCUGCUGCAGCUGCUCAAUCCAGCAUGUUGGUGGCGCUAAUCAACUGGCACACUUGUACAAUUAUUACAACUUCUCAUGAGACCAGGUUGUAUUGAUUUCUUUUAAGAGUUUUCAAGAGUAAAACUUUUGAAAUAAAUGAUGACCACCAGUUUAGGAAGGGGGCAAUGAUGGUGAUCAACGUCAUAAGCACCAGUUUACCAAUUGGAUUUGCCUCAGAAUUUCUGUUGUUUCCUUUUACACCACCCACAGUCACACACAGAACAAACUUUCUCUACCACUUCACAUUCUCUAUCUUACUCUUUCUCCAAGUUCCUAUUUUACAGUCUAUCUCAUUUUCUCUUUUGAUCAAAUCAUUCUGUGGAUAAGGGAAUCAGAUUUGACUCUCAAAAGUAUAUCUAUUUUACCACAACAUAAACUAUUCUUUUGUUGGGCUCCUAAAAUGUCAUGGAGCUAUAGUUUUACUUAAAUGUCUUUGUGGACAUUUCAAGGUAAAUAAAAAUCUGCUGAAGACUGACAUCAACAAAGAUCUGGACACACACAGUGCUGCAGACAGUAAUAUUACUGUAAGCCCACACUGCUUUAGAAAGAGAUAGAGAGGAUGAGUAAUGUUUGGCUGACCCCAACAGUGCAUGUCUUUUAUAUGGCUGUGUUUAAUGAAACAGUGCCAAGCUGUUAUUUCUACAGUUUUAAUAGACAACUGAUUGUCUAUAAACUCCUUACAUAACAAGCAAGUCACAGCAAAAACCAGUCACAUAAUUGGCAAACAUAAUAAUAGUAAUUGAAACGACUUCUGACAUUUUUCACUAGAAAUAAAGGCAAGGAAAACCUGGAUACAUCAGGUAAUCUUUAAAUUGUGCUUUACAGUCCUCAACAAAAAUGUUAGAAAGUCACAGAAAAGUCAUGGAAAUUUCUAUAUUCUAUGCUCUAAAAGAUUCAAUCAGCUAAAAAUUGCUCUUUGUCAGUGCAAUAUCAAUAUCUUUUUUACAAAUUCCUAUCCAGUAAUGGACUGUGUUGGUUAAGUUACUCAAAAAAGUAAUCCACUACAAAUUACUAAUUAAUUCUCUAAAAUUGUAAUAAGCUUACUUUACUGAUUACUUCAUUGAAAAAGUAAUUACAUUACUAGUUACUUUACAUUUUAGUUACUUUACAAAACACUAUUAACUGAAAAGUUUUUGUUGUUACACUCAAAAAAUUCAAAAUAAUGUAUAUUUUCCACCUUUUCAUAGACUCGUUAGGGGGUGCACUGCUUUGAGCUGUUACAGGAACACAAACUCAUAUUUAAUAUUUAAUAUUUUUAUUGUAUUCUACUUAACAUUAUUUGAGAAAUGUAUAUCCCAAGUAAUGUAUUUAAAAGUAAUUAACUGAACUGAAAGUCAGUAAAUGUAAUCUGAUUACAAGAAUUUAAAAUGUAAUGCGUUGCACUACUUUUUGAUAGAAAAUAAUUAUAUUACAGCAAAUAAUUUGUAAUCAGAUUACACCCAACACUGGUAAUGGAGGACUUGAACUAAAGACUGUAAAAGCCAUGGAAAUUCAUUGGUCUAUGAGGUGGGAAUGAUGAAAAUUGUUUAUCCAGUUUUUUGGGAGGAAAUUUAAGAGUUACUCUCCUUCCCAGGAGAAUAAUCGACACAUUCUCUACCAAAGAUUAUUUUAUAUGAUACGCACAUAUGAAUGGACUUCCUCCACAGCAUUCACACUGCUUGUAGUGUAAAGUCAUCAUAACAUGUAUAUCUCUUUAGUAGAAACAUUACAAUAAUCAGCCCUCAGGCCUAUGGUGUAUUUUUGUCAACAGCUGAUCAAGAUAGCAAGUGUUUCAAUGUACACAUCAUGUGUCUGUCUUAUGCACAGGGCCAUAGCUAGUGGGGUGAAAGGUGGUAAUGAUUCUAGGAGCCCAAAGGUCCAGGGGGGCCCCACAACAAAUUCUAAACUGUAUUUUUUAAUAGGAAAGGGGCCAAGAGCAAUAUACAGUCAGGGGGCCCAGAUUACCUUGCUACUGCCCUGAUUAUACACACAAUACUAUCUGAUCUACAUGGUGAUUAAGAUCAACCCUCAUGUCCUGUGCCUGCAAAUGAGCCGGAUAUGUGCUGCAGGGGAGGACAUGAGUCCUGGAUGACCUUCUGUCAUCUCCUUACAGAAGGUAAAAGCAGAAUGCUGUCGCAUUAUCAAGAUGGUGCAUUGUGCAAAGCCACAUUGAGGGGAAAUAAGGUGAAGUGGGAUUUCUUGUAAACAACACGGUCAUAAGCUUUCAGAGAGCAUACUUUUAAAAAAAAGUGUCUAAAAGGAAUAGAAAUGAAAAUGAAAAUGCCCCCUGCCCAAACUUUACAUUUACAAAGUCUCUGAAAUGAUGGCAAAAAAUGUUGUUCUUGUGCUUCCUGCUAAUUCACUUAUAGUAAGAUGCCUGCAUGAGCUAUGAUUAUUUUUAGACUAUUAUUAUUUAUUAACCUCGUGCAACCCCGCGUCCACGUGUGUGGAUGUUGAAUUUUGGCCUAGCUAUAUGCAACACAUAAUUUAAAUGAGUUAAAACCAACUGAAUAUUGUUCACGAGACUCUACACUGUCAUUUAAGGGUUAAACUUAUGCUGCAUCGCAUCACAUGACACAACAGUGUGACGUUGAUUUCCGUGAAGCACUCCUAUGGGGGCAGCACCAACAAAAGUGCCUCUGUGGGUAUAAGAGGGCAGCAUUGUGGUAUGAGCCUUCCGAAUGGCCUCUUGUCCCUGUCUGGGCCUUCGUCUGCAACAGAGAUCCCUCAGGGACUGUGGAGGGGAAUGAUGACCAAAUAUGCCCAAUCCUGUUUGUCCUCCUGUCACUGGGGAGUACAAAUACUGCAGCUACGUGCUGCAAACCAAGCCUCCUUCUCCAGUGCAGCAUGUCCCAGGAUCCUCUGGGAGGGUCAGUGUAUGCCAUGUGUAUGCAUUUCACAGGGGCAGGGCAGAACAUGGGGGACAAACGUCAUGGAUAUAGAGAAAGCAAAAUAAAUCUGCAUAUAUAUAUAUAUAUAUAUAUAGUGUUCAACAUGUUAAAGAAAAUGUUUAAGUCAAGUUUAGCAAAUAUAGUACUGAUUACAUUUUCAGUUUUUUUUAAAAAUACUAUUGGUUUAAUUUGGCCACUGAUUCAGGCAGAGCUGCAUGAGGCAACGGACUCAAACACAGAAACUCACAAUACAUCUCAUUCUCUUUUCCUCAUUCCUUGUUCCAAACCCAUUUCUUUCUCAUACACUUAACUCAGUUCCACACCGUUCUCCCUCACUACCCCUGACUGCACAGAUACUUUGGUAUGGCUGGGCAGAGAGCCCUAAAAUGGACCAACAGCGAAGAGGUUUGAGCUGGGCCAUUUGGAUCUGGGCAAUACACACACCCAGUACUGCACAAAUCAAAUAUCUCAUGCAAUCUGAGAAUGUGCUGUUGUCUGCUGUUCUCCAUGUUACACAGGGACACUGAAAAAGCAAUUAUUGUCUCAUUUUCCAGAGCUCAGCUCAUCGAAAACAAUGACGGCAGCCACUGGAUACCUGGGAGCAGUAAUGAAAACUAUGAAAAGCCGAGAUGCAGGUCAAGAGGCUGGUGGCUUUAAUGAGUAUAUGUAAUUACAUUGUAAAGAACUGCUCAGCUGAGGGUGGUCCAGCUAUGGUGGCCAUUUAGAGGGAUAAAAACCCCUCACAGAAGACAAUGUAUGGCUAAAAGUUAUUUAAAAUUAAACAACAUGAUAAAACUAUCCUGAAAACCUGAGCUCCUGACAUAUUAGCAUAUAACGAAUAUGCAGAAUUAUUAGCUACUUUUAGAAGUUACUUUGUAGUGAAUACCUCACAUUUAGACAGUUUAGGAUAUUGUGUCUCUUCAUUGUCUGUACAGAUGUAAGUUGAAAUAUUAUGUUAAUGUUAUGGAUGUACAGUUGCAGUAUGUUUUAAG